AAAUCUCUCUCUCUCUCUCUCUCUCUCUCUCUCUCUCUCUCUCUCUCUCUCUCUCUCUCUCUCUCUCUCUCUCUCUCUCUCUCUUUGAUUUGUUGAAGUCAAAUUAGCAAAGACAAAGAUUUUUUUUUUUUACUUAAUAAGAGGACGAGGAGGAAGACAAGACCAGGGAUACAAAAGCUAACGUUCUUUUUAUAUCCUUCAACCACUCAAUGAUUAAUAUUUUCAUGUGUUCAUCAUCCUAUCCGUGAAGAGAAGGGGAAGAGGAAUGAUGAAACGUACAGAGCAAUAUGAAAUAAGUCUUGAUCAAGAGAGUCACGUGAGUCACGGUGAUAGGGCAGGCGUGUGACGCACCAGCCUUCCUUUUUCCAACACUUCAUUACAUAAACGUGGAUUUAAACUGCUUCUCUUGCUAAUCACUCAUCUUUAACAAAGGUUUCCUUUUUAUCUUUAUUGGUACAUUUAUAUAUAUUCAAGUUUCUAUUUUUAAAUCUAUUCUUUAAUAUUGAUACGAUGGAUCCAUAUAUCUUUUGACUUAUUUCAGUGGGUGAGAAACGUGGCAACAGUGAGAGCCUAAAGACGCACUAAUACUCUAUAUAAACACACAAACACACACAUCACUCACCAUAGGCGCCUCACACAGCAAGCUGCCCACAGCCAGAGCGUUCUCACGCCACUGACUGACAGCCCCAGCACACCCCUCGCCCUCAACAUCCCCACAAGAUGUGGCGCACUGUCCUGGCAGUGGUGCUAUUGAUGGUGAUAGCGGCGACAGCCAACGCCUACCCACAUACAAUUGGAAGGCCACACAUUCAUUUCGAUUAUGGUUUCGGAGGAGGAGCAAGUGUGAAAUGUGGCAACACUGAGAGUCUAAAGACGCAAUUACACCUUAUGCAAGCAUACAAACCCCAAAAGACACCUCACACAAUAAGCCACCAGCAUUUAGGUGUGUUGCCAGUUUUGCCACCACUGACUGACGGCUCCGGUACACCUCCCGCCUCUCAACAUCUUAUCCCCAGAAAAUGUGGCGCACCGUCCUACGAAUGGUGCUGUUGGUGGUGGUGAUGGCGGCCACACUUGCAGGCAGCGGCCGCCCAAAACAAUCCAUUAAGUGGUUACUCCUUCAUUUAGGUACAUUUAUGACAUAGAUAUAGGAGAGAGAGAGACUGUGUGUGUGUGUGUGUGUGUGUGUGUGUGUGUGUGUGUUUUUCAACUAGAUGACUGAAUUGUUCUUAUUCAGGUGCAGUUGGUGGUCUCGAAGGAGGAGCAAGAAUAUGUAAGUCUGAGCGCCAAAGUAGGUUUCUCUUUCUCGUUUUCUUUUGAAGGAGUACGUUAGAUUUUCAAUGUGUGUGUGUGUGUGUGUGUGUGUGUGUGUGUGUGUGUGUGUGUGUGUGUGUGUGUGUGUGUGUGUGUGUGUGUGUGUGCAUAGAUAUAUAGGUAAAUAGAUAGACAAAUAUAGGUAUUGAAUAAUUAUAUACUUAAUGUUCUUGUUAUUAUUUUUAUCAUUAUCAUUAUUAUUAUCAUUAUUAUUAUUAUUAUUAUUAUUAUUAUUAUUAUUAUUAUUAU
RNA transcript from Portunus trituberculatus (swimming crab), 1563 nucleotides. RefSeq lists it as uncharacterized. The record is from RefSeq and is a predicted model, not a curated record. The transcript is spliced from 5 exons. NCBI's taxonomy places the organism in Eukaryota, Metazoa, Arthropoda, Malacostraca, Decapoda, Portunidae.